Molecule: ribosomal RNA, 508 nt
Filed under: uncultured bacterium
Lineage: Bacteria
Description: bacterial SSU rRNA
Rfam family: Bacterial small subunit ribosomal RNA
Source: RNAcentral
AGAGUUUGAUCCUGGCUCAGGACGAACGCUGGCGGCGUGCUUAACACAUGCAAGUCGAACGAGGUCCAUGCAGUAGCAAUACUGCGGAAGACCUAGUGGCGAACGGGUGCGUAACACGUGAGGAACUUGUCCCGGUCUCUGGGAUAACAGUUGGAAACGACUGCUAAUACCGGAUGACGUCGGAGCAUCGCAUGGUGCGCUGACGAAAGGGUUACCGGAUCGGGAGAGCCUCGCGGCCUAUCAGCUUGUUGGUGGGGUAAUGGCCUACCAAGGCAUCGACGGGUAGCUGGUCUGAGAGGAUGAUCAGCCACACUGGGACUGAGACACGGCCCAGACUCCUACGGGAGGCGGCAGUGGGGAAUCUUGCGCAAUGGGCGAAAGCCUGACGCAGCAACGCCGCGUGCGGGAAGAAGGCUCUCGGGUUGUAAACCGCUUUCAGAAGGAACGAAACUGACGGUACUUUCAGAAGAAGGUGCGGCCAACUACGUGCCAGCAGCCGCGGUAAUAC